RNAcentral lists this long non-coding RNA (610 nucleotides) under Triticum aestivum (bread wheat). RNAcentral's name for it is "long non-coding RNA (TAES_LNC011782)". The record is from RNAcentral. Lineage: Eukaryota; Viridiplantae; Streptophyta; Magnoliopsida; Poales; Poaceae.
GAAUGGCUGGCACUAGGCGGUGAUACUCCGGUUAGUAAAUUUGCCUAACUAAUGACAAACUAGUUCUCGUUCAUUCAACACUAUCAUGUCAUAUUUACCGUUAGAAUCUUCUUUCAAACAUGUAGGGGACCGGUGGCUCGACUCCUGCUCCGUCGACCCCAGUCACUUCGAUCUGGCAGAGUGAUGGUGGUCGCGGUGGCGGUUUUGGCGGAGGAGGACUUGGCGGUGGCGGUUUUGGCGGAGGUGGACUUGGUGGUGGUUUUGGCGGAGGUGGACUCGAUGGUGGUGGUGGUUUUGGAGGAGGUGGACUCGGUGGUGGGGGUGGUUUUGGAGGAGGUGGACUCGGUGGUGCUUGAUGUCGAUGAUGAUUCAGUGUAUGCGGCCGUUGUGCCAUGUCUUUCAUGUUUCAACUUUUAUGAUGUUUCAUGUCUUGCACUACUCUUAUGUUCGUGGACUUUCGCCGGUGAUGAUCUUUAGAUGAUGAACUUGACUAUGUUUAAAUGAUGUUGAUGAACUGUCAUAUUUCAUAUUAUUCUGUUUUGAAAUGUUGUCAAAUGAAUUGGAAAAGAGAAAAGAGGGAAUAUAUAAAAAAAAUAUGCCUACGGCAAAG